This is a long non-coding RNA of Pyrus x bretschneideri (Chinese white pear), 2798 nucleotides long. RefSeq lists it as uncharacterized. The record is from RefSeq and is a predicted model, not a curated record. The transcript is spliced from 2 exons. Lineage: Eukaryota; Viridiplantae; Streptophyta; Magnoliopsida; Rosales; Rosaceae.
AUGAUCAAAUUGUAUCAGUUCUAUCUUUAUAUUGUGAAACACUUGAGAACAACAAAAGUAUUUGUUAACGAAAAUCUUUGAUCAUGCUCUGGCAGGUGGGGAUUUCUUUUUGUCUUCUUGACAAACUGAAUGUCAUUGUGACACAUCUUGGUAGAUAUUUCUUUCAUAUCAUGAAACCUACUUGUCAAGUAGAUUAUUUGACAGGCAGCAUUAUGCAGGUCUUAACGAUAUAUCUGCUGCAAUAGUUGUUUGGCAAUUCCAGUUGGUGUAACAAGCAACCAAACCAUUCUCUACCUUGAGUUUCCUUCGAAUAUGGUGUCUCUCUCUGACGCUUACUCACACAUAUGCACAAAUGUACUAGUGCCCUUUAUUUGGCAGUGUUUUAUUAAUAAACAUGUUAACGUAAAGUUGUUAAACAUGAGUGUUAGGAGGGACUUGUAUUGGAUUUGGCUCCUCACCGGAUCCCCUCCCUGGGGAUCCUAGGGAUCAACACAUGGGGACCGUUGAUAAAAAAUCGUGCGGUCGUAAUUUUUUAUUUUAUUUUAUAUUUUUCAUGCAAAACGAGACUGCUUUACUUUUAAAAAUUUAAAAAGCAUUUAAUUAAGACCGCACGAUUUUUUUAUCAACGGUCUCCGUGCGUUGAUCCCUAGGAUCCCCAGAGAGGGGAUCCGGCAAGGAUCCAAAUCCACUUGUAUUACACAUGGUAUCGUAAUUACUGAAGUUUAAUCAAGUUCCUUAGUACCUCUGUUUUCCUGGUUUUUUCUCUUCAUCUUUUCAUUUCUAAUGUCAUAUUUCUUGGGAGUAGCAAUAUGGAAAAUGUUGGAUGAUGUGCCAAUCCAGUCUUUGUUCCUAAUGCAUUUUUGUAGGUUUGCUCUUUCUUGAUGGGGUGGUUGGGUGUUGUUUUCAAAGGAGAUAUAUCGUAUACGUCCGAUUAUUUGGCCAUUGGAUUGUCAACCGGUUACUUGGGAAGCCUUACAUCUUUUAGCGGUGGGAACCAGAAAGUGCUUGAACUUAAGUGUUGAAGGCCAUUGGGUUUUUGCUGAUGUCAUAUUUACAUGUAGCUGGCUAUGGCUAGCGUAAUGUUUGAAUUUCAUUUGAAUCUAGCUGGUCUCAGCUUUGAUGCCUAUUAUCCAGGGAUUAAUCACAAACCCAAUGUUGCUCAAAUUGCUGGACUGAUCUGAGCUUCUCUUUCAUGUGACGGAUUAUAUCAGGUUUGUUUCUUGCCACCAACUCCAUCAUUUUCGGGGUAGAGACAGCAAAGUGUUUUAGGCAGCUUAUUGAGAGAAACUCAGUAUGUGGUAUCACUAGCUCUAUAAGGAGCUUGAGGGUUGAUAGCUACAAGCGUCACUUGGUAGCUUUAGCAGUGUUGUUGUGGUUGGGUUGCAUAGUUGGACCUCUUGGUGUGCGGAUCCGGUGGUUUUUAGCCCUGCUUAAUGGCCGUGGAUUAGGAAGGCGGGGUUGUUGAAAUGGGUUCCAUUUGGUACUCUAAUUGCCAAUGUUUCUGCAGCUUGUGUCAUGGCUGCCCUGUCUUCUGUGAAGAAAGCGGUAAGUGCUUGUGAUAUGAUCUUCCUCCACAUCCACUUCAUGACGUCAUCCUCACCGUUACUUUUUGUGUUUUAUGGUCUUCGGAAAGCUUACAGUUCACAUAUAUUUGUCACAUUAUAAACUGCCAAGUUUGUUACUUUGGGCUCUUUUUCUCUCGUCGAGGUUUUAGAAGCUUCUUGGGGGAAUUCUUGAAGUGUACUCGUUUCUUUUACAAUGUUCUGCGUGUUACCUUUGUCCUGCGUUUUCUUGGUCCAUGAAAAUCUAACGAAAUAUAUCCUUCAGAACCUUUUCUGUUUGCUCAGAUGAACACUAAGACUAGUGACAUUGUUGCAACAGGCAUACAAUUUGGAUUUCUGGGUUGCACGAGUACUGUUUCUACCUUCAUUGCUGAGUUCAAUGAGAUGAGAGAGAGCAAAUAUUCUCGGAGAGCAUACGCAUACGCCAUGGCUACGAUAUGCACCUCGUUUGGUUUGGGGUUCAUGAUAUAUUGUGUACCUGUUUGAACAAAGGGAUACAAGUAGUUGCAUGCUCAGGCCAUUGUUUUGACGUCUAAUCUGUGGCUAUACCUUGAGAUUUUAUUCACCCUCACUGGCUUCAAUCUGACCGAAGGACAGGGCACCCUUCUGCCUCUUGAGUGUGUCACAGAAUCUGGCGGGAGAUACUUACACGAAAUAUUUUUCUUGUAUCCGUCUCUGCCCUCAGGCGUUGUGACAGAUGCAUGGGGGUAUGCACCUGGUUUCAUGUUAGUUUCUGUCAUCUCGCAGAAGUAUCUCCAGAUCGGGCUGCAACCAAUGCUAGCUUGGACACCGCCAAGUUCUUAUUGUACAACAGGUUAGUUCUUUCUUGAUGGGGUGGUUGGGAACCGGUUACUUAGGAAGCCUUACAUCUUUCAACGGUUCGAACCAGAAAUGCUUGAACCAGAAAUGCUUGAACUCAGUGUUGAAGGCCUUUGGGUGUUUGAUCUGCUCUGUUUUUUAAUAGGUAAGAUGUCAUACUCUAAAGAAUUGCUGCAGUAUACAUGUGGCUGGCCAUGGCAAGCAUAACGUUUGAAUUUCAUUUGAAUCUAGUUGGUUUCGGCUUUGAUGCCUAUUAUCCAGGGACUUCUCAAGAGGUCACCCAUUCUAGUACUACUCUUACCCAAACUCGCUUAACUUCGGAGUUCUGAUGGCAUUUGGUGCAUAUGAGUUGGUAUGAUUGCAUUCAUUAGUUUAUGACUUGUAAUUUUAUAUAACCAUUUCUUUGGCCAUGACUAA